Molecule: long non-coding RNA, 203 nt
Filed under: Physcomitrium patens
Lineage: Eukaryota; Viridiplantae; Streptophyta; Bryopsida; Funariales; Funariaceae
Description: long non-coding RNA (PPAT_LNC002813)
Source: RNAcentral
AGAUUAACCCAAUAAAUUUCAUUCACUCCGCAUACUCAAUCCUAUAGGCACCCUUUUAAUUCUUCAAUCACAGACAUAACUUCGAUUUUACAAAACAGUCAAGAGUAAUCACACCCACUUCAUUAAAAAUCCCGAUUCACCAUUACAACACCAACUUCAGCAACGAUUGCCUCAGUCUUCUCAAAACCCUAUGAAGAAAAAAA